RNAcentral lists this long non-coding RNA (335 nucleotides) under Salmo trutta (river trout). Its description in RNAcentral is "lncRNA (ENSSTUG00000020263.1)". The record is from RNAcentral. Lineage: Eukaryota; Metazoa; Chordata; Actinopteri; Salmoniformes; Salmonidae.
GUAUUGCAAUACAACAUAAACAACCAAAGCUAAAACGGGGAACUAUUGCAACACACUUUGGUUUUAUUAUUUUUUUUAUAGCUAGCGAGAUACAGUUGCUUUCACGAAAUGUGUUCGACUGCUAAGCUAGCCGACUGGCUAAACUAAGUAGCUAGCAAGUUAGCUCAGCUCGGUUCCGGCCUAAAAUAGCUAACGUUAGCUCCAUUUUCAGAUUUCGGGAAAACCACAAUUCAAGUGUACAUUACCACGUAUGCAGAUGUUCAUCUAACGAAACCAAGGGAAAGCUGAUGGAACGUUAGUCCAACUGAGUCACCAAUUCUCGUCAUGCAAUGGGG